Molecule: ribosomal RNA, 1444 nt
Filed under: Enterobacteriales bacterium TB3
Lineage: Bacteria; Pseudomonadati; Pseudomonadota; Gammaproteobacteria; Enterobacterales
Description: bacterial SSU rRNA
Rfam family: Bacterial small subunit ribosomal RNA
Source: RNAcentral
CAGUGGCGGGGUUCCUACCGGGCGGUCGGAGCGGUAGCACAAGGAGCUUGGUCUCGGGUGACGAGCGGCGGACGGGCGAGUAAUGUCUGGGAAACUGCCUGAUGGAGGGGGAUAACUACUGGAAACGGUAGCUAAUACCGCAUAACGUCGCAAGACCAAAGAGGGGGACCUUCGGGCCUCUUGCCAUCAGAUGUGCCCAGAUGGGAUUAGCUAGUAGGUGGGGUAACGGCUCACCUAGGCGACGAUCCCUAGCUGGUCUGAGAGGAUGACCAGCCACACUGGAACUGAGACACGGUCCAGACUCCUACGGGAGGCAGCAGUGGGGAAUAUUGCACAAUGGGCGCAAGCCUGAUGCAGCCAUGCCGCGUGUAUGAAGAAGGCCUUCGGGUUGUAAAGUACUUUCAGCGGGGAGGAAGGUGUUGUGGUUAAUAACCACAGCAAUUGACGUUACCCGCAGAAGAAGCACCGGCUAACUCCGUGCCAGCAGCCGCGGUAAUACGGAGGGUGCAAGCGUUAAUCGGAAUUACUGGGCGUAAAGCGCACGCAGGCGGUCUGUCAAGUCGGAUGUGAAAUCCCCGGGCUCAACCUGGGAACUGCAUUCGAAACUGGCAGGCUAGAGUCUUGUAGAGGGGGGUAGAAUUCCAGGUGUAGCGGUGAAAUGCGUAGAGAUCUGGAGGAAUACCGGUGGCGAAGGCGGCCCCCUGGACAAAGACUGACGCUCAGGUGCGAAAGCGUGGGGAGCAAACAGGAUUAGAUACCCUGGUAGUCCACGCCGUAAACGAUGUCGACUUGGAGGUUGUGCCCUUGAGGCGUGGCUUCCGGAGCUAACGCGUUAAGUCGACCGCCUGGGGAGUACGGCCGCAAGGUUAAAACUCAAAUGAAUUGACGGGGGCCCGCACAAGCGGUGGAGCAUGUGGUUUAAUUCGAUGCAACGCGAAGAACCUUACCUACUCUUGACAUCCAGAGAACUUUCCAGAGAUGGAUUGGUGCCUUCGGGAACUCUGAGACAGGUGCUGCAUGGCUGUCGUCAGCUCGUGUUGUGAAAUGUUGGGUUAAGUCCCGCAACGAGCGCAACCCUUAUCCUUUGUUGCCAGCGGUUAGGCCGGGAACUCAAAGGAGACUGCCAGUGAUAAACUGGAGGAAGGUGGGGAUGACGUCAAGUCAUCAUGGCCCUUACGAGUAGGGCUACACACGUGCUACAAUGGCGCAUACAAAGAGAAGCGACCUCGCGAGAGCAAGCGGACCUCAUAAAGUGCGUCGUAGUCCGGAUUGGAGUCUGCAACUCGACUCCAUGAAGUCGGAAUCGCUAGUAAUCGUAGAUCAGAAUGCUACGGUGAAUACGUUCCCGGGCCUUGUACACACCGCCCGUCACACCAUGGGAGUGGGUUGCAAAAGAAGUAGGUAGCUUAACCUUCGGGAGGGCGCUUACUCACUUUGAAUGCGG